AUGAGUUCUGGCUGUCUACUUUUCUGCAGAAGUAUGCGAGUAAAACUUGAACAAGUUCUGGUGCUCUGCUCAUCUGGCAGGCACCUGCAAUGCCAGUUUGGAUCUGCCCCAUCUUCUGGAAUUGCUAACAUCAUUUAUCACAACAAAUUACAGUACUGUCAAGGUCAUGAAUAUGUCUUUCAGAUUCACAAAGAAACUGAAUUAGAACAGAGAAGGAAAAGCAUAAAUAGCUGCACACUCAACAGGAGGAACACCAAAACCUGUUUAAAAAUGUGUUUUAUAUUAUUCUCUUUUUCCAAAUUACCCCAGCUUCCAGGAAUAUAAUCAACGGAAAUUGGCACAAAACUUAGAUUAACUACAAAAACAAGCUGUUAAAGAAUCAAAAACUGAAAUGGUUCCAUGAUAUUUUGAAACAAAAGAAGCUGGUUUAAAACAAGUAAAGGUUACCUCAGAGUGUUUGCAAGCCAAAUGCCAACUCUAGGAUAGGAAUACACUGUAAACAAAAGUGAAACUGACUUAUUGUUGCCCGAGCUGUGAGAAACGUGAAAAGGAAAUGAACAGAUGUGACGGGCUGGCUGGCAGUGACUUAACCCAGGGGUUUUGAAAGGGCAAAGAUGAUUGGAGGACUUGGGAUUCCCUUUCCUCACCAAUCAGGCCCCAGGGACUCACCGUCUGUGUCCCCUGAUUGGCCCCUUGGGCCACCCAGAGGGUGAUAAAAGGGGGAGCAUGGCUGACUCAAGGGAGACCAGCGAGGGACCACAAGGAAGGAGUUACAAAGAGUUGGCAAGAGCUGGGCCAGCGGGGCAGGAGCAGUUGCCCCAGAAGCACCUGAAAGAGCAGGACCUGCAGGCAGCAGUGGGACCCUCAGCAGCGCAGCGUGCGGCCAGCAGGAGAGGCUCCCCGCUGGGCUCCAGGAUCCCCUGUGAGAGGCAGUGGCCAGCAGGAGAGGCUCCCCAGCUCCAGCAAGGAUCCGAGCAGCGACCUGAGAGAUUCCCAGCCCUACUUCUAGCUCCUCCAAUGAGAGGAUAGGCAGCUCGAUGUGAGGCCGGGACUCCAGGAAGGUCAAGACCCCUAGUAACCUGGAGCAGUGGCUAUGUGGUAGAGUUUCUGCCUACCAUGUGGGAGAGCUGAGUUCAAGUCUCAGCUAGUGUCACUUGGGGUGAGUGACCUAACAGGGAGAAAUUCCUCUUGCAGCAGAAAGGAGCUGUUGAGUGUUCUCCCCCUCCAGGUACCUAGGCCCUGUAUUAUUUGACAUUUUGUGCCUUUUAUAUUUCACCAACCAGUAUUGUUUGUUCUGCUGUUUGUGUUUUGCAUUUUGGUUAAC
Molecule: long non-coding RNA, 1324 nt
Filed under: Crocodylus porosus (Australian saltwater crocodile)
Lineage: Eukaryota; Metazoa; Chordata; Crocodylia; Crocodylidae
Description: lncRNA (ENSCPRG00005008824.1)
Source: RNAcentral